CCGAGCCGUAGCCGCAGCCCCAGCCAGAGCCGGAGUCGCAGUCGCAGCCAUAGCCGCAGCCACAGCCGCAGUCACAGUCACAGCCGCAGCCGUAGCCAUAGUCAGAGCCACUCACCGUCGCCCCCAAGGGAGAAGCCGGCCAGGCCAGCAGCAUCCCCUGCCGUGGGCGAGAAGCUGAAAAAGACCGAACCUGCCGCUGGUAAAGAGACAGGAGCUGCCAAAGUCACCCAAGCUGACGCCACAAGAGAGGCUAAAGCUGAGGAUGCAGAAGGCGCUGAACAGGCAGUUCAAGGCGGAUAAGAAAGCGGCUCAGGAGAAGAUGAUACAGCAGGAACAUGAGCGGCAGGAGCGGGAAGACGAGCUUCGAGCCAUGGCCCGCAAGAUCCGGAUGAAGGAGCGGGAACGCAGGGAGAAGGAGCGAGAGGAGUGGGAACGCCAGUACAGCCGCCAGAGCCGCUCACCCUCGCCUCGUUACAGUCGAGAAUAUAGCUCCUCCCGAAGGCGCUCGAGGUCCCGGUCUCGAAGCCCCCAUUACCGACAUUAGGCAGGGGCAGGGGCAGGGUGCUAGGCCCAAGCUGUGAUGCUGGUUUCUCUAGUGAAAUAAAGCAGAUGUUAUUUAAUGCUCUUUAUUUGGCCUCUGUCCUUUGUGUGGCUGGUGUGGCCCUCAAAUCUCUGCCCACAGCUAUGGGGGACUCAGGCUUACAGGCCAGGUGUCAGUGUCACCGCAGCCACCUCAGCCUGAACUACCAUGGGUCACACACCCCGCCUAGAGCCUGGUGAGGCCUGCUCAGCAGGCAGGGGGCCUGAUCCAGUGGGAAAGGGCUCAGACCUGCC
This 834-nucleotide long non-coding RNA is filed under the name Fukomys damarensis (Damara mole-rat). Its description in RNAcentral is "lncRNA (ENSFDAG00000030807.1)". Lineage: Eukaryota; Metazoa; Chordata; Mammalia; Rodentia; Bathyergidae. The record is from RNAcentral.